UACGUAGGGGGCAAGCGUUGUCCGGAUUUAUUGGGCGUAAAGAGCGUGUAGGCGGCCAGACAGGUCCGUUGUGAAAACUCGAGGCUCAACCUCGAGACGCCGAUGGAAACCGUCUGGCUAGAGUCCGGAAGAGGAGAGUGGAAUUCCUGGUGUAGCGGUGAAAUGCGCAGAUAUCAGGAAGAACACCCGUGGCUAAGGCGGCUCUCUAGUACGGUACUGACGAUGAGACGCGAAAGCGUGGGGAGCGAACAGG
This 253-nucleotide ribosomal RNA is filed under the name uncultured bacterium. RNAcentral describes it as "partial 16S ribosomal RNA". It matches the Rfam family "Bacterial small subunit ribosomal RNA", at positions 524 to 776 of the family's 1533-position model. The record is from RNAcentral.